UACGUAGGUGGCAAGCGUUAUCCGGAAUUAUUGGGCGUAAAGAGGGAGCAGGCGGUCUGUUAAGUCUGAAGUCAAAUGCAGUAGCUCAACUACUGUUCGCUUUGGAUACUGGCAGGCUAGAGUGACGGAGAGGUUAGCGGAAUUCCAUGUGUAGCGGUGAAAUGCGUAGAUAUAUGGAGGAACACCAGUGGCGAAGGCGGCUAACUGGCCGUUUACUGACGCUCAGUCCCGAAAGUGUGGGGAGC
RNAcentral lists this ribosomal RNA (245 nucleotides) under uncultured Erysipelotrichaceae bacterium. RNAcentral describes it as "partial 16S ribosomal RNA". It matches the Rfam family "Bacterial small subunit ribosomal RNA", at positions 524 to 769 of the family's 1533-position model. The record is from RNAcentral. Lineage: Bacteria; Bacillati; Bacillota; Erysipelotrichia; Erysipelotrichales; Erysipelotrichaceae.